AGUGAACGCUGGCGGUAGGCCUAACACAUGCAAGUCGAACGGCAGCACAGUAAGAGCUUGCUCUUACGGGUGGCGAGUGGCGGACGGGUAAGGAAUACAUCGGAAUCUACUUUUUCGUGGGGGAUAACGUAGGGAAACUUACGCUAAUACCGCAUACGACCUACGGGUGAAAGCAGGGGAUCUUCGGACCUUGCGCGAUUGAAUGAGCCGAUGUCGGAUUAGCUAGUUGGCGGGGUAUAGGCCCACCAAGGCGACGAUCCGUAGCUGGUCUGAGAGGAUGAUCAGCCACACUGGAACUGAGACACGGUCCAGACUCCUACGGGAGGCAGCAGUGGGGAAUAUUGGACAAUGGGCGCAAGCCUGAUCCAGCUAUACCGCGUGGGUGAAGAAGGCCUUCGGGUUGUAAAGCCCUUUUGUUGGGAAAGAAAAGCAGCAGGUUAAUACCCCGCUGUUCUGACGGUACCCAAAGAAUAAGCACCGGCUAACUUCGUG
This 492-nucleotide ribosomal RNA is filed under the name uncultured bacterium. RNAcentral describes it as "partial 16S ribosomal RNA". It matches the Rfam family "Bacterial small subunit ribosomal RNA", at positions 29 to 507 of the family's 1533-position model. The record is from RNAcentral.